Molecule: ribosomal RNA, 372 nt
Filed under: uncultured organism
Description: bacterial SSU rRNA
Rfam family: Bacterial small subunit ribosomal RNA
Source: RNAcentral
CGGAGGUGGCAAGCGUUGUUCGGAAUUACUGGGCGUAAAGGGCGCGUAGGCGGCAAGGCAAGUCAGGUGUGAAAGCCCCGGGCUUAACCCGGGAAUUGCAUCUGAAACUGCUGUGCUUGAGUUCUGGAGGGGGUAGUGGAAUUCCCAGUGUAGCGGUGAAAUGCGUAGAUAUUGGGAGGAACACCUGCGGCGAAGGCGGCUACCUGGACAGAAACUGACGCUGAGGCGCGAAAGCUAGGGGAGCGAACGGGAUUAGAUACCCCGGUAGUCCUAGCUGUAAACGAUGGGCACUUGGUGUUGGGGGUAUUGAGUCCCCCAGUGCCGGAGUUAACACGUUAAGUGCCCCACCUGGGGAGUACGGUCGCAAGACUG